AGGCCUAGCUACAUUCUGUGUUAAGUAUAUGAUUACAAAGAAUAAGCCCGAAGUGUAACUUAGAGUACUAACAGGCUAUUGCUAUUAUAUAAAUCUGAUCAGAAAGUGCAAGUUUACUUCAUGGGCAUGUCAGGCCUACUAAGGGAGUGAACAGGAGUGAAAAGAAAUGUCCUCGAGUUAUCCUCACUGCAAAGUAUGGAAAAGAUGAUCUUUUCAAGAGAAGCAUCCUGACAACUGGGCAUGAGAGGGAUUUGAAGGCUGAAGUCUAUCAACACAACGAGUCAGACGUAAGGUAACUUCCAGAGAGAAGGAUGGCCCUGAAGACUGCAUUUGAGAGACCUGAGGUCUGUACUUUGCCAUGUGUCCUCUGAGCAUCCUUGGCUAAGCCACUGAGGGCCAGAAUUUCUAAAAAGCUCCACUUCCACUCUCCUGAUCUCAGGAAAAGCAAGGCUGCUUAAUGAAAGAUGCUAUUACUAUUCAAGAUACCAACACAAAAGCAAAGAGAAGCUCGAAGUGCAGAAUAAUGCUGGAUCACUGCAAGACUAAAAAAA
Molecule: non-coding RNA, 551 nt
Organism: Anas platyrhynchos (mallard)
Lineage: Eukaryota; Metazoa; Chordata; Aves; Anseriformes; Anatidae
Source: RefSeq, a predicted model, not a curated record